GGUAGUAGCCAUAUCACCCUGCAACUCACAACUGGCAACCCACUGAAGCUAAGCAGGUGUGAGCCUGGCCAGUACCUGGAUGGGAGACCUCCUGGGAAAAACUAAGGUUGCUGCUGGAA
Molecule: ribosomal RNA, 119 nt
Organism: Lepisosteus oculatus (spotted gar)
Lineage: Eukaryota; Metazoa; Chordata; Actinopteri; Semionotiformes; Lepisosteidae
Source: Ensembl